GUGCGAACAGGUGAGGAAACCCGAGAGCUAAGUUUUGGGGCGGGGCUGGAGUCGUAUUAGGUCGAAGGUGGUAUAAAAGACCACCUUGCCCAGGAUGCGUGGCUUUAAACUGGAAGCCAUCUUUUCACUGAAGCAAAGGGAGGGCUCAAAAAGGGAGCGAAAAGCUCCUGAGGCAGCAGUAUAUAACUUUAUGCAAUGUACGAAAGUGCGACAUAGAAGGGGCGUAUAACUUAAUCUGUCUAAUUAAGUGCCAGCAGACGCGGUGAAACUUAAGGAUUAGUAUUAUAGGAAAAAGCGUAAAGGGUGUGAGGGGCUUAUCCCAACAAGAGGGUAAAUGGAAUUUUUCUGUAGGGGUAGAAUGUGUAGAUAGAAAAAAGAACUCUAAACGCGAAGGCAAUUUAUCUCAUGGGUGGUACGCCAACUGCUCCGUUGUUACACGAAAGUAUGGGGAGCAAACAGGAUUAGAGACCCUGGUAGUCUAUAUUGUAAAUAAUGAAGAAGAUGUGAGGCAAUCCUAAAGGGUAAUAAAUUUUUCGCUUGAGUAGUAUGAUCGCAAGAUUUAAAUUCAAAAAACUUGGCUGCUCACUGCUAUGAUCAGAGGAGCGUGUCGUUUAAUUCGAUAGUCCGCGAGAGACCUUACCCAAACUUGAAUUCGCCCUUUAACAGGUAUUGCAUGGCCGUCGUCAAUUUGUGUAUUAAAUGUAAAACGGAUUCAACCCAGUGGUUGGCAACCCCUCGUCUUCGGAGCGGUGCCAUUAUUGGAUGAAGUCAGGUCUUAUUGUCCUAAUGUUUGGGGAUUAGAUGCGCUACAUUUUCUUAUACAAUGGGAGAUUUUGAAGGUGGAACCCUAAAGUAAGAGUUCGGGAGGUGGCUGGAAGAUAACUGAAAGUGGGAUUUGAUAGUAAUUAGAAAGUAGAGCGUUCUGGUGAAAUUGAUGCAGUGUUAGUACAAAUAGCCCGUCGCCUUGGUCAAGAAUGGGUACUCAAAUGC
RNAcentral lists this ribosomal RNA (990 nucleotides) under Rhodactis sp. BN-2014k. Its description in RNAcentral is "partial small subunit ribosomal RNA". It matches the Rfam family "Bacterial small subunit ribosomal RNA", at positions 186 to 1427 of the family's 1533-position model. Lineage: Eukaryota; Metazoa; Cnidaria; Anthozoa; Corallimorpharia; Discosomidae. The record is from RNAcentral. RNAcentral also lists the same sequence under 1 other name.